This 465-nucleotide ribosomal RNA is filed under the name uncultured bacterium. RNAcentral describes it as "partial 16S ribosomal RNA". It matches the Rfam family "Bacterial small subunit ribosomal RNA", at positions 28 to 507 of the family's 1533-position model. The record is from RNAcentral.
GACGAACGCUGGCGGCGUGCUUAACACAUGCAAGUCGAACGGAAAGGCCCUGCUUGCCGGGUACUCGAGUGGCGAACGGGUGAGUAACACGUGGGUGAUCUGCCCUGCACCUCGGGAUAAGCCUGGGAAACUGGGUCUAAUACCGGAUAGGAGCCAUUUUUAGUGUGAUGGUUGGAAAGUUUUUUCGGUGUAGGAUGAGCUCGCGGCCUAUCAGCUUGUUGGUGGGGUAAUGGCCUACCAAGGCGGCGACGGGUAGCCGGCCUGAGAGGGUGGACGGCCACAUUGGGACUGAGAUACGGCCCAGACUCCUACGGGAGGCAGCAGUGGGGAAUAUUGCACAAUGGGCGCAAGCCUGAUGCAGCGACGCCGCGUGGGGGAUGACGGCCUUCGGGUUGUAAACUCCUUUCGCUAGGGACGAAGCUUUUUGUGACGGUACCUAGAUAAGAAGCACCGGCUAACUACGUG